GAUUCUGCAGAAGAUGGUGCCACUCAUAGCUCCAACCUGAAUGAAGUAGCUCCCCGAAUUCUAUUUAUGUCAUAAUGAAUAUAUUCAACUUAAUUUUGUCAAAGACUUCAUAGGCGCACCUGCAGCUAAGAGUGCAGUAUGGAUCUGGAGUGAUUCUGAAUUUUCUUUCCACAAAAAUAAUUUUGGCAGCUUGGGAUCAAUAUCUUCCUCCCAUAUGUUUCAUAUUCUCUAUAAAGUAUAAUUGAAGACACCCUUCUCAACAGUACUUCUCAGUACGAAUACAUUCAGAAAUUCUAAAUAGGUAAUUUGAAAAGGAAGGAAACUAACAUUUGGCGAGUGUUUUCUAUGACAUUCCAGGGCUGUGUGUUAUGCACCUUUGCAUAUGUCACUUCAUUUAAUCUGCACAACAAUGUGAGAACGACGAUGUCAAGCUUACUUUUGCAGGACAGGAGACUGAGGCUCAGAGAGGCUAAAAUACUUGCCUAAGAUCACACAGUCAUUAGCGGUACAGCCAGGAUCGGAAGCCAACGUUGUCUGACUCCAGAGCUUGCUCUGUUGUGUGUGCUCUCAACACUCCAUCUCUAAUUCUCCACCCCUCCCAAUCCCAAGCCUCUCCUUAUUGAGAACAUGGACUAAAUCUUUGGGGGAAAAUCCAAAUGCUGACACCAAACCUAGAGAGAGCUUUCUUGGACUGGACUUUGAAGGAACAUUUUUGGCUCAAACUUACACUUGGACCACAUCUACUUCAUCUUUAGUUAAUCGGCUUCAAUGUUCUCAUUUCCUUGUGUGUAAACGGAAGCAAAGUUGGACAAGGAUGUCCGUGACCUUGGACCAAAGGAGACUUUGACUUUAUUCGAGGAAAUCCUUGUCUUCCUCCAGGAGAUGAGAAGGAAGCGGUCCCAGCCCAGGGAGACGGAUUCUUUCCUCUGCUGCUCUGACAGCCAUCUCGGCAACUCUCCCGACCAAACUCCCCAGGCUGUGGCGUGCCCCGCCGUGUGGUUCCUGUUGGGAGGCAAGGACAUGUGCUGGAUGUGUAUGCAGUCUUUGAAGCUGGAGAGGCCUGUGUUGGAAACUGUGCUCUGUCCCAUACCAGUUCCCUGACCUUGGGUAAGUCACAUAAAGUGCGAGUCUUUUAUUUUUUUCUAGAGUGGAAAUGGGGCUAUGAAUUCCUAACACUGGUAGGAUUAUAAGGAAAAGGACAAGAUUAAAGUAAACAAUACAUUAUAAGCAUGGUGGCUAGCACAUGGCUAGUCUUCUCAAUGAAUA
RNAcentral lists this long non-coding RNA (1266 nucleotides) under Pan troglodytes (chimpanzee). RNAcentral describes it as "lncRNA (ENSPTRG00000053867.1)". The record is from RNAcentral. Lineage: Eukaryota; Metazoa; Chordata; Mammalia; Primates; Hominidae.